GUUGCGGAAAUUUAACAACAAAACAUUAGCCUGUGAAGCUAAAAAGGAAAGGAUAACCCCCCCCAUCUUCGCAGCC
This 76-nucleotide transfer RNA is filed under the name Calumma fallax. RNAcentral's name for it is "tRNA-His". Lineage: Eukaryota; Metazoa; Chordata; Lepidosauria; Squamata; Chamaeleonidae. The record is from RNAcentral.